GACGAACGCUGGCGGCGUGCUUAACACAUGCAAGUCGAACGGAAAGGCCUGUCCUUCCUUGUGUUGGACGGGUACUCGAGUGGCGAACGGGUGAGUAACACGUGAGUGAUCUGCCCCCAACUUGGGUAUAAGCCUGGGAAACUGGGUCUAAUUCCCGAUAGGACUGCAGGGUGGUGCCUGUGGUGGAAAACGAUUUUCUAGUGGUUGGGGAUGAGCUCGCGGCCUAUCAGCUUGUUGGUGGGGUAAUGGCCUACCAAGGCGGCGACGGGUAGCUGGCCUCAGAGGGUGGACGGCCACAUUGGGACUGAGAUACGGCCCAGACUCCUACGGGAGGCAGCAGUGGGGAAUAUUGCACAAUGGGCGGAAGCCUGAUGCAGCGACGCCGCGUGGGGGAUGACGGCCUUCGGGUUGUAAACUCCUUUCGACCGCGAGGAAGCCGCCUGGUUGGAAGGGUGGUGACGGUAGUGGUAGAAGAAGCACUGGCUAACUACGUG
Molecule: ribosomal RNA, 494 nt
Filed under: uncultured bacterium
Lineage: Bacteria
Description: partial 16S ribosomal RNA
Rfam family: Bacterial small subunit ribosomal RNA
Source: RNAcentral